GACGAACGCUGGCGGCGUGCCUAAUACAUGCAAGUAGAACGCUGAAGGAGGAGCUUGCUUCUCUGGAUGAGUUGCGAACGGGUGAGUAACGCGUAGGUAACCUGCCUGGUAGCGGGGGAUAACUAUUGGAAACGAUAGCUAAUACCGCAUAAUAGUAGAUGUUGCAUGACAUUUGCCUAAAAGGUGCAAUUGCAUCACUACCAGAUGGACCUGCGUUGUAUUAGCUAGUUGGUGGGGUAACGGCUCACCAAGGCGACGAUACAUAGCCGACCUGAGAGGGUGAUCGGCCACACUGGGACUGACACACGGCCCAGACUCCUACGGGAGGCAGCAGUAGGGAAUCUUCGGCAAUGGACGGAAGUCUGACCGAGCAACGCCGCGUGAGUGAAGAAGGUUUUCGGAUCGUAAAGCUCUGUUGUAAGAGAAGAACGAGUGUGAGAGUGGAAAGUUCACACUGUGACGGUAUCUUACCAGAAAGGGACGGCUAACUACGUG
Molecule: ribosomal RNA, 495 nt
Filed under: uncultured bacterium
Lineage: Bacteria
Description: partial 16S ribosomal RNA
Rfam family: Bacterial small subunit ribosomal RNA
Source: RNAcentral